RNAcentral lists this ribosomal RNA (477 nucleotides) under uncultured bacterium. Its description in RNAcentral is "partial 16S ribosomal RNA". It matches the Rfam family "Bacterial small subunit ribosomal RNA", at positions 28 to 507 of the family's 1533-position model. The record is from RNAcentral.
GAUGAACGCUGGCGGCGUGCCUAAUACAUGCAAGUCGAGCGAACGGACGAGAAGCUUGCUUCUCUGAUGUUAGCGGCGGACGGGUGAGUAACACGUGGAUAACCUACCUAUAAGACUGGGAUAACUUCGGGAAACCGGAGCUAAUACCGGAUAAUAUUUUGAACCGCAUGGUUCAAAAGUGAAAGACGGUCUUGCUGUCACUUAUAGAUGGAUCCGCGCUGCAUUAGCUAGUUGGUAAGGUAACGGCUUACCAAGGCAACGAUGCAUAGCCGACCUGAGAGAGUGACCGGACACAUUGGGACUGCGGCACGGGCCAGACGCAUACGGGAGGCAGCAGUGGGGAACAUUGCACAAUGGGCGGAAGCCUGAUGCAGCAACGCCGCGUGCGGGAUAACGGCCUUAUGGUUGUAAACCGAUUUCGCAUGUGACGAAGCGGGAGUGACGGUAAUGGGUAAAGAAGCAACGGCUAACUACGUG